ACCAUGGAAACCAGCCUUUCCUUUCAUUAAACAGCAAUUAAAGUGGGUCAAGAAACCUUUUCUAACAAACCACAUAGGUCCACUAACUUAAAUGUCCUUGUCGUUCAACAGCCACGCUCUGUCUCAUGAGGAUUUGUGAUAUUAUAAUAAUGAAGGAAGCAGCUCUCCAGUGAAAUAUGAAGGCUAAGUCUGCCCUUAAAGGCCUGGUAGAAACUAAUGUAGAUAUUGGGUUAAACAAGACGUAAAGAGCAAAGUUUGUGCUGUGUGUACACAAUUAAGGGGAGACUAAAACUGGAAACUAAAAUCUGAAUGUUCUCAGACUUGAAAAGAUCUCAGCUACUGCUUUAGUUUUGCCAGAUGCGGAUGAAAACAUGUCCCGACUCAACAGCAAGCAGUUUCUUAGUCAACCUUCUGGAACACUUCUAAGCGCAAUGUGUCCCUGCUGCAUAUUAAAAUGAUAACACAAAGGUAAGAUGCGUUUAGAAAAUAAUAAAGCCUCUCAGUAUUGUGAUAAAUGAACGUUUUUUUUUUUUUCUCUACUGUGCUCUGUGUGAUGUCAGGACUCUAGAGGACCCGAAAGACUCACCUAACCAGUAACAUAUGUUCUGUUGGUUUUUAGGAUUUCACUUCAUUUGAGGGAUGAGGUGCUUUCUUGCAUUGUGCUUAAAACGUUCCAGGGUCAAAGAAGUUUUCGAAUCCGCACUGAAGACAAGUCGCAGUGUGCUACCAGUGCGGGGCAAAGCUAAAGCGGAAACUCAGCAACUGAUCUUUAAUGUGAUACGGCACCAGCUACUCACCGAAGAAAGACCAGACCCCUUUACUGCAGUCCUGAAAUGUUUCUUCAACCAGGAGGACACAAG
Long non-coding RNA from Girardinichthys multiradiatus, 860 nucleotides. RefSeq lists it as uncharacterized. The transcript is spliced from 3 exons. The record is from RefSeq and is a predicted model, not a curated record. NCBI's taxonomy places the organism in Eukaryota, Metazoa, Chordata, Actinopteri, Cyprinodontiformes, Goodeidae.